This 426-nucleotide ribosomal RNA is filed under the name uncultured prokaryote. RNAcentral describes it as "bacterial SSU rRNA". It matches the Rfam family "Bacterial small subunit ribosomal RNA", at positions 355 to 796 of the family's 1533-position model. The record is from RNAcentral.
UGGGGAAUUUUCCGCAAUGGGCGCAAGCCUGACGGAGCAGUACCGCGUGAGGGAGGAAGGCCUUUGGGUUGUAAACCUCUUUUCUUAAGGAAGAAGAACUGACGGUACUUAAGGAAUCAGCAUCGGCUAACUCCGUGCCAGCAGCCGCGGUAAGACGGAGGGCGCUAGCGUUGUUCGGAAUCACUGGGCGUAAAGGGCGCGUUGGCGGCUGUUUAAGUCGAGGGUGAAAGCCCGGGGCUCAACCCCGGAACGGCCUUCGAGACUGGGCAGCUCGAGACCGGAAGAGGAGGGUGGAAUACCCAGUGUAGAGGUGAAAUUCGUAGAUAUUGGGUGGAACACCAGUGGCGAAAGCGGCUCUCUGGUCCGGAUCUGACGCUGAGGCGCGAAAGCGUGGGGAGCAAACAGGAUUAGAUACCCGUGUAGUCC